UGCAAGUCGAGCGGCAGCACGGGGAGCUUGCUCYCUGGUGGCGAGCGGCGGACGGGUGAGUAAUGCAUAGGAAUCUGCCCGGUAGUGGGGGAUAACCUGGGGAAACCCAGGCUAAUACCGCAUACGUCCUACGGGAGAAAGCAGGGGAUCUUCGGACCUUGCGCUAUCGGAUGAGCCUAUGUCGGAUUAGCUGGUUGGUGAGGUAAUGGCUCACCAAGGCGACGAUCCGUAGCUGGUCUGAGAGGAUGAUCAGCCACACUGGGACUGAGACACGGCCCAGACUCCUACGGGAGGCAGCAGUGGGGAAUAUUGGACAAUGGGCGCAAGCCUGAUCCAGCCAUGCCGCGUGUGUGAAGAAGGCCCUCGGGUUGUAAAGCACUUUCAGCGAGGAAGAAGGCUUGGCGGUCAAUACCCGUCAAGAAGGACAUCACUCGCAGAAGAAGCACCGGCUAACUCCGUGCCAGCAGCCGCGGUAAUACGGAGGGUGCGAGCGUUAAUCGGAAUUACUGGGCGUAAAGCGCGCGUAGGUGGUUUGGCACGCCGGUUGUGAAAGCCCCGGGCUCAACCUGGGAACGGCAUCCGGAACGGCCAGACUAGAGUGCAGGAGAGGAAGGUAGAAUUCCCGGUGUAGCGGUGAAAUGCGUAGAGAUCGGGAGGAAUACCAGUGGCGAAGGCGGCCUUCUGGCCUGACACUGACACUGAGGUGCGAAAGCGUGGGUAGCAAACAGGAUUAGAUACCCUGGUAGUCCACGCCGUAAACGAUGUCGACUAGCCGUUGGGACCUUUAAGGACUUAGUGGCGCAGUUAACGCGAUAAGUCGACCGCCUGGGGAGUACGGCCGCAAGGU
Molecule: ribosomal RNA, 847 nt
Filed under: Salinicola sp. CR-60
Lineage: Bacteria; Pseudomonadati; Pseudomonadota; Gammaproteobacteria; Oceanospirillales; Halomonadaceae
Description: bacterial SSU rRNA
Rfam family: Bacterial small subunit ribosomal RNA
Source: RNAcentral